AUGACUGCUAAUGGAUUCAAGAUUUCUUUUCAGGGUGAUAAUAUUCUGAAAUUAGGUAGUGUUAUCUGCUGUACAAUUUUGUAAAUGGGUAAAAACCUUUUGAAUUGUAUGCUUUUAAAGUGUUAAUUUUGGGAGUUGCUCUCAUGGCAACGCCUGAUCCUUAACUCACUGAGCAAGGCCAGGGCUCGAACCUGCAACCUCAUGGUUCCUAGUCAGAUUCAUUAACCACUGAGCCACGACGGGAACUCCAGGAUAUUAUUUUUAAACACAGUGAAAUAUAGAUCGUAAUUAGGAAUCAAGGCAAGGAAAAGUUAUAGCUUUUGCAUCAGAAGCCCCAUCCCUGGCCAAUGAGUUAGAUUUUUUGCUAGAGGUAGACCGCUUCACAUACCUGGUACUAAAAAUGAAACGACGGGUGAUGAAAAUAGUCUGAAAACUUUAAUGGCAGACUUCUUUUAAGCUCUGACAGUAUGUGGACUUCAGCUGGCAAGUGUGUUGUGAGAAUGUAAUGAAUCCCAGGAGCAGAGAUAAUCAGUCCCAUCAUCCUCAGCCUUAUUUAAAUGAUGGUUUAUACAGUAACAUGAGCAGCAAGAAAUCUGUUCUCCUCCUCCAGCUGGAAUAGUCACGCUGGGCUGAUCUAUUUAAUAAUUACUGGCUAAAUAUUUACAACAGUGAAUGCCUUUUGUUUGAGAGCUCAGUCAAGAUAAUUAGAAACUAUGAUGAGUUUAUUUCCAGUAGUAACAAAUUGAAAUUCUUGACUUGAGAGAAAGAUAGCUGUAUAUAGUAUAACAUUUUUAUUCAGGCUGGUACCACAUUAGAGCACAGUCCUGAUGGGUGCGAAAUUUUGAAUUCUUCUCAGCCAAGGCUUACUAGCAAGUCAGGGAUGGUUUUCAUUGUUAAUUUAAUGCUGACACGACUUGCAGUGUGCUCUAAAAUGCACUGAAAAUUAUGAAACUGGAACUCAUUAACCAGUAUGUAAAGUCAGCUUUGUAGGAUUAUCAUCUAAUAUUUUAAUUGAAUUUCUUGAGAUUGUAAUUUCAAUUUUGCUCUAUUGAACUCAGUAGAAAAAAGGUAAAACUUUAAAGAUGAUUUAACUUGUUGUAAUGAACUUUUGCAGAAAGAAGCACAUAUUGAAGAGAAUACUAAGAAUAAAGAGGUUGAGUUAUUUCAAAAUAACUUAUACCACAUACUAGCCAGGCAGUAAUGUGUCUUUUAGGACAGUUGCUGGCACUGCAGAGACAGGCCCAGUGUUUUGGCGCCUCACCACAUUCUCUGCUCUCCAGUCGCCUCUUCCUCCAGGGAAUCUCCAAAGUGGCAACUUCUCCUUCAACUUUAGGUAAGCUUAGAGGUCCUCUACUCUCUCUGCAAUGUUCUCUUCACCCCCCAGCCCUCUGGUGUUUGUAAGUCACAUUUCCUAAGUUUGUAGCCUUUAGGUGUGCAAGUGUGUAAGAUAAAAUAUUUAUGUAGAGAAGCACACAAAAGUAUACAGCUUAAAGGUGUACACUUUUUACUCUCUUACUGGUCUCCAUGAAGAAACAUAAUUUUUUUUUUAUUUAAAUGUACUCCAACUUGUCAUCCCUUCUUUUAUAGUUAGUGCUUUGUGUGUUUCUCACCUCAUACAUUUUUUUUUCUCCAAAGUGACGGAGGUAUUAUAAUACUGUCUAAUACUUUCUAAACUCGCCAUUGUGUUUCCUUUUGCAAAUCGUUUUGCCUUUUAAAAUUUAUCUGGAAUUAUUCUUUGUAUCUGUGUUUUUAUAUUUGGUAUAAGACAGAACUCAAUAUUCCAGUCAGAGAGAAUAGCUAGUGUAGACUGAGAUUUCAGGAACUUGCGUCUGAUGAGGAGGAAGCUGCAGCCAGUAAAUGAGGCAAGAAGAAUGAGAAAUGAGCUUGCAGAGGCAGACAGAAGAUUUACUGAAGAUUCAGAUUUACUCUCUAUCAAAUAUUAUAUAUAGGUUUUUAAAGAUAAUAUUUCUAUCUAAAGAUAUACUAGAGAGCUUUCUAGCCCUUGGUAAUAUUUUUUUUUCAUUUUAUUCCAAAUGUAUGGGAAUCUAUUGGAGAGAACAGGCGAGUUGUACUAUAGGAUCUACCUUGUUAAGAAUCACUGACCUGGAGUUCCCGUCGUGGCGCAGUGGUUAACGAAUCCGGCUAGGAACCAUGAGGUCCCGGGUUCCAUCCCUGCCCUUGCUCAGUGAGUUAACGAUCUGGCGUUGCCGUGAGCUGUGGCAUAGGUUGCAGAGGCGGCUCGGAUCCCGCAUUGCUGUAGCUCUGGCGUAGGCCGGCAGCUACAGCUCCGAUUAGACCCCUAGCCUGGGAACCUCCAUAUGCCGCUGGAGCAGCCCAAGAAAUGGCAAAA
RNAcentral lists this long non-coding RNA (2350 nucleotides) under Sus scrofa (pig). RNAcentral's name for it is "lncRNA (ENSSSCG00025025676.1)". The record is from RNAcentral. Lineage: Eukaryota; Metazoa; Chordata; Mammalia; Artiodactyla; Suidae.